This 28-nucleotide small RNA is filed under the name Bombyx mori (domestic silkworm). RNAcentral describes it as "ovarian small RNA-24252". The record is from RNAcentral. Lineage: Eukaryota; Metazoa; Arthropoda; Insecta; Lepidoptera; Bombycidae.
UAUUGGACUAUAUAAACUUGCUAAUUUG